This 524-nucleotide ribosomal RNA is filed under the name Pseudomonas sp. 12709. RNAcentral's name for it is "bacterial SSU rRNA". It matches the Rfam family "Bacterial small subunit ribosomal RNA", at positions 1 to 522 of the family's 1533-position model. Lineage: Bacteria; Pseudomonadati; Pseudomonadota; Gammaproteobacteria; Pseudomonadales; Pseudomonadaceae. The record is from RNAcentral.
UGGAGAGUUUGAUCCUGGCUCAGAUUGAACGCUGGCGGCAGGCCUAACACAUGCAAGUCGAGCGGCAGCACGGGUACUUGUACCUGGUGGCGAGCGGCGGACGGGUGAGUAAUACCUAGGAAUCUGCCUGGUAGUGGGGGAUAACGUCCGGAAACGGACGCUAAUACCGCAUACGUCCUACGGGAGAAAGCAGGGGACCUUCGGGCCUUGCGCUAUCAGAUGAGCCUAGGUCGGAUUAGCUAGUUGGUGAGGUAAUGGCUCACCAAGGCUACGAUCCGUAACUGGUCUGAGAGGAUGAUCAGUCACACUGGAACUGAGACACGGUCCAGACUCCUACGGGAGGCAGCAGUGGGGAAUAUUGGACAAUGGGCGAAAGCCUGAUCCAGCCAUGCCGCGUGUGUGAAGAAGGUCUUCGGAUUGUAAAGCACUUUAAGUUGGGAGGAAGGGCAGUUACCUAAUACGUGAUUGUUUUGACGUUACCGACAGAAUAAGCACCGGCUAACUCUGUGCCAGCAGCCGCGGUA